RNAcentral lists this ribosomal RNA (487 nucleotides) under uncultured bacterium. RNAcentral's name for it is "bacterial SSU rRNA". It matches the Rfam family "Bacterial small subunit ribosomal RNA", at positions 903 to 1397 of the family's 1533-position model. The record is from RNAcentral.
AAAUGAAUAGACGGGGGCCCGCACAAGCAGUGGAGUAUGUGGUUUAAUUCGAAGCAACGCGAAGAACCUUACCAGGUCUUGACAUCGAAUGCAUACCUAAGAGAUUAGGGAAGCCCUUCGGGGCAUUCAGACAGGUGGUGCAUGGUUGUCGUCAGCUCGUGUCGUGAGAUGUUGGGUUAAGUCCCGCAACGAGCGCAACCCUUAUGCUUAGUUACUACGAAAGAGGACUCUAAGCAGACUGCCGUUGACAAAACGGAGGAAGGUGGGGAUGACGUCAAAUCAUCAUGCCCCUUAUGACCUGGGCUACACACGUACUACAAUGGCUAUUAACAAAGUGAACCAACAUCGCGAGGUAGAGGGAAACACAAAAAAUAGUCUCAGUUCGGAUUGUAGGCUGCAACUCGCCUACAUGAAGUCGGAAUUGCUAGUAAUCGCAGAUCAGAAUGCUGCGGUGAAUACGUUCCCGGGCCUUGUACACACCGCCCGU